CGGUAACAGCUCAAAUUUGAAAUCUGGCUCCUCGGGGCCCGAAUUGUAAUUUGUAGAAGAUGCUUUGGGUCUGGGCCUGGCCUAAGUUCCUUGGAACAGGACGUCGUAGAGGGUGAGAAUCCCGUAUGCGGCUGGCGCCCGUGCCCGUGUAAAGCUCUUUCAACGAGUCGAGUUGUUUGGGAAUGCAGCUCUAAAUGGGUGGUAAAUUUCAUCUAAAGCUAAAUAUUGGCCAGAGACCGAUAGCGCACAAGUAGAGUGAUCGAAAGAUGAAAAGCACUUUGGAAAGAGAGUUAAACAGUACGUGAAAUUGUUGAAAGGGAAGCGCUGGCAACCAGACUUGGGCGCUGUUGAUCCGCUAGGGUUCUCUCUAGGGCACUCGGCAGUGCGCAGGCCAGCAUCGGUUUGGGGGGUUGGAGAAUGGCUGGUGGAAUGUGGCUGUCUUUGGGCAGUGUUAUAGCCACCGGUGGCAUGCAGCCUCCCCGGACCGAGGACCGCGCUUCGGCUAGGAUGCUGGCGUAAUGGUUGUCAGCGACCC
This 535-nucleotide ribosomal RNA is filed under the name Podosphaera xanthii. RNAcentral describes it as "partial large subunit ribosomal RNA". It matches the Rfam family "Eukaryotic large subunit ribosomal RNA", at positions 99 to 650 of the family's 3401-position model. The record is from RNAcentral. Lineage: Eukaryota; Fungi; Ascomycota; Leotiomycetes; Helotiales; Erysiphaceae.